UUACUCGGGACGGGGCUUGGCUAGAGCCAUGCGCAUGCGCGUCCCGCUCCGGCGCCGUCCUUGGAGGCCCGCCGGCCGACGCGGUGCCAGCCCCGAGCCACGUAGGUGCGGGCGGCGCCGGAAUGAGGAGCAGUGUGGCUGAUGCUCCGGCGGGUCUGCAACCAGACCUCCGAUUCUCAGACAAAGGGAAUCUGGGUGUCUUGAAGCUGCCUAAAUGAGUGAAACAUGUUGGUGAAAAACAAGGAAACGUAUUCUGCUUUCACAUCUUCUAGUAAAGGUUGAGCAUUGAAUAUUCAAAACUUGGUCUGCCUGACUAUGCCACCCGUGGGAAAAAUCAACAAGAAGCAAUGUAUGUGGUAGAAAGUAAAGGACAGCAAAGGCUAUUGCAAAUGGAGUGGUAGGAAUCAAGCAUAAACAAACCAGAAUGAUGGUAGAGACAAUUAGUGGAGGAUUUUAGAAACUGAAAAACGUGUUAUCAGUAUUGAAGUCAUAAUAUCAACGAAUAGUGUUGGAUACUUGGAGGACCUUGAUGACCUUCAAUUCAUCUACGUUGUCUGAAUGCUGGAGAUUAAAUCAAGUUUUGUGAUUGUUCGAGAAAAUUUAAAGUGUAAGUUUUUAUAUCCUUGCCCUACCAUCUUUCUAGGAAGAAAUUACUUACCUUUCUUUCCUCUCUUUUUCUUUCUUCCUUUUCUUUCCCUUCUCCAUCUCCUCUUCCUCUCUCUUUUUCUCCUUAUCUUCCUCCUCUUAUUUUUUAUGAAGCUACUUGGCCUUCUUUGCUGCUGGGUAGGAAGAAAAACUGGAGAAACUGAAAAUCAGGUG
RNAcentral lists this long non-coding RNA (819 nucleotides) under Equus caballus (horse). Its description in RNAcentral is "lncRNA (ENSECAG00000042271.2)". The record is from RNAcentral. Lineage: Eukaryota; Metazoa; Chordata; Mammalia; Perissodactyla; Equidae.